This 454-nucleotide ribosomal RNA is filed under the name uncultured bacterium. Its description in RNAcentral is "partial 16S ribosomal RNA". It matches the Rfam family "Bacterial small subunit ribosomal RNA", at positions 28 to 507 of the family's 1533-position model. The record is from RNAcentral.
GAUGAACGCUGACAGAAUGCUUAACACAUGCAAGUCUACUUGAACUUCGGUUUGGGUGGCGGACGGGUGAGUAACGCGUAAAGAACUUGCCUCACAGAUAGGGACAACAUUUGGAAACGAAUGCUAAUACCUGAUAUUAUGAUUUUAGGGCAUCCUAGAAUUAUGAAAGCUAUAUGCACUGUGAGAGAGCUUUGCGUCCCAUUAGCUAGUUGGAGAGGUAACGGCUCACCAAGGCGAUGAUGGGUAGCCGGCCUGAGAGGGUGAUCGGCCACAAGGGGACUGAGACACGGCCCUUACUCCUACGGGAGGCAGCAGUGGGGAAUAUUGGACAAUGGACCAAGAGUCUGAUCCAGCAAUUCUGUGUGCACGAUGAAGUUUUUCGGAAUGUAAAGUGCUUUCAGUUGGGAAGAAAAAAAUGACGGUACCAACAGAAGAAGUGACGGCUAAAUACGUG